RNAcentral lists this ribosomal RNA (478 nucleotides) under uncultured bacterium. RNAcentral's name for it is "partial 16S ribosomal RNA". It matches the Rfam family "Bacterial small subunit ribosomal RNA", at positions 28 to 523 of the family's 1533-position model. The record is from RNAcentral.
GACGAACGCUGGCGGCGCGCUUAACACAUGCAAGUCGAACGGUAAGGCCCUUCGGGGUACACGAGCGGCGAACGGGUGAGUAACACGUGGGUGAUCUGCCCUGCACUUCGGGAUAAGCCUGGGAAACUGGGUUUAAUACCGGAUAGGACCACUGCCUGCAUGGGUGGUGGUGGAAAGCUUUUGCGGUGUGGGAUGGGCCCGCGGCCUAUCAGCUUGUUGGUGGGGUGAUGGCCUACCAAGGCGACGACGGGUAGCCGGCCUGAGAGGGUGACCGGCCACACUGGGACUGAGAUACGGCCCAGACUCCUACGGGAGGCAGCAGUGGGGAAUAUUGCACAAUGGGCGCAAGCCUGAUGCAGCGACGCCGCGUGAGGGAUGACGGCCUUCGGGUUGUAAACCUCUUUCAGCACCGACGAAGCGCAAGUGACGGUAGGUGCAGAAGAAGGACCGGCCAACUACGUGCCAGCAGCCGCCGCGG